RNAcentral lists this transfer RNA (74 nucleotides) under Biquartavirus 44RR2. Its description in RNAcentral is "Aeromonas phage 44RR2.8t tRNA". It matches the Rfam family "tRNA". From Rfam's summary of the family: Transfer RNA (tRNA) molecules are approximately 80 nucleotides in length. Their secondary structure includes four short double-helical elements and three loops (D, anti-codon, and T loops). Further hydrogen bonds mediate the characteristic L-shaped molecular structure. tRNAs have two regions of fundamental functional importance: the anti-codon, which is responsible for specific mRNA codon recognition, and the 3' end, to which the tRNAs corresponding amino acid is attached (by aminoacyl-tRNA synthetases). tRNAs cope with the degeneracy of the genetic code in two manners: having more than one tRNA (with a specific anti-codon) for a particular amino acid; and 'wobble' base-pairing, i.e. permitting non-standard base-pairing at the 3rd anti-codon position. RNAcentral also lists the same sequence under 6 other names. Lineage: Duplodnaviria; Heunggongvirae; Uroviricota; Caudoviricetes; Pantevenvirales; Straboviridae. The record is from Rfam by way of RNAcentral.
GGUCUCUUAGCUCAGCUGGACAGAGCAACGUCGUUCUAAGUCGUUGGUCAUUGGUUCGAAUCCAAUAGGGACCA